CACUCCUACGGGAGGCAGCAGUGGGGAAUAUUGCACAAUGGGCGCAAGCCUGAUGCAGCCAUGCCGCGUGUAUGAAGAAGGCCUUCGGGUUGUAAAGUACUUUCAGCGGGGAGGAAGGCGAUAAGGUUAAUAACCUUGUCGAUUGACGUUACCCGCAGAAGAAGCACCGGCUAACUCCGUGCCAGCAGCCGCGGUAAUACGGAGGGUGCAAGCGUUAAUCGGAAUUACUGGGCGUAAAGCGCACGCAGGCGGUCUGUCAAGUCGGAUGUGAAAUCCCCGGGCUCAACCUGGGAACUGCAUUCGAAACUGGCAGGCUAGAGUCUUGUAGAGGGGGGUAGAAUUCCAGGUGUAGCGGUGAAAUGCGUAGAGAUCUGGAGGAAUACCGGUGGCGAAGGCGGCCCCCUGGACAAAGACUGACGCUCAGGUGCGAAAGCGUGGGGAGCAAACAGGAUUAGAUACCCCGGUAGUCCC
Molecule: ribosomal RNA, 471 nt
Filed under: uncultured organism
Description: partial 16S ribosomal RNA
Rfam family: Bacterial small subunit ribosomal RNA
Source: RNAcentral